RNAcentral lists this ribosomal RNA (253 nucleotides) under uncultured bacterium. RNAcentral describes it as "partial 16S ribosomal RNA". It matches the Rfam family "Bacterial small subunit ribosomal RNA", at positions 524 to 776 of the family's 1533-position model. The record is from RNAcentral.
UACGUAGGGGGCGAGCGUUAUCCGGAUUUACUGGGCGUAAAGCGCGUGUAGGUUGUUGCGUAAGUUAGUUGUGAAAUCCCUCGGCUUAACCGAGGAACUGCAGCUAAUACUGCGUGGCUGGAGUGGCAGAGAGGAAAGUGGAAUUCCCGGUGUAGUAGUGAAAUGCGUAGAUAUCGGGAGGAACACCAGUGGCGAAGGCGACUUUCUGGCUGCUAACUGACACUGAGACGCGAAAGCUAGGGGAGCGAACGGG